GACGAACGCUGGCGGCGCGCUUAACACAUGCAAGUCGAACGGAAAGGCCUGCUUUCCCUUGUGGAUUGCGGGUACUCGAGUGGCGAACGGGUGAGUAUCACGUGAGUGAUCUUCCCCCAACUUGUGUAUAAGCCUGGGAAACUGGGUCUAAUUCCCGAUAGGACUGCAGGGUGGUGCCUGUGGUUGAAAACGAUUUUCUAGUGGUUGGGGAUGAGCUCGCGGCCUAUCAGCUUGUUGGUGGCGUAAUGGCCUACCAAGGCGGCGACGGGUAGCCGGUCUGGGGGGGGGGACGGCAAGAUUGGGACCGGGAUACGGGCCAGAGUGCGACGGGAGGCAGCAGUGGGGAAGAUAGCACAAUGGGAGGAAGCAUGAUGCAGCGACGCCGCGUGGGGGAUGACGGCCUUCGGGUUGUAAACUCCUUUCGACCGAGAGGAAGCCACCUGGUUGGAAGGGUGGUGACGGUAGUGGUAGAAGAAGCACCGGCUAAAUACGUG
This 494-nucleotide ribosomal RNA is filed under the name uncultured bacterium. Its description in RNAcentral is "partial 16S ribosomal RNA". It matches the Rfam family "Bacterial small subunit ribosomal RNA", at positions 28 to 507 of the family's 1533-position model. The record is from RNAcentral.